AUGGGGACGGGGUGGCGGAGGGCGCUGUGCACGUCGGUGAGCCGGGACGACAGCAGCGACGGCGGCGGCAGCGGCAGCGCCAAGCGCCGCCCGCCGCCCGCGCGCGGCGACGCGCCGGCGACCCCGCGGAAGCUGGCCUUCUUCUCCGGCAUGGGCGGCGGUGGCGGCGGCAACCCGUCGGCCCCCGCGCUGCGGUGCCGCACGAAGCCGACGGCGGAGCCGGAGAGCGUGGCGCCCGUGAUGCCGCCGCAGCCGGCGUCGGCGCCGGUGUCGGCCAGGAAGCGGGUGCCGCUGCUGCAGGCCAUCUCCGCGCCGUCCUCGCCCAGAUCCCCCUCCAGAUUCGCGCUCUUCAAGGCCUCCAUCCUCCCCACCAAGGCACGGUGCGGCGUGUGCACGCGGGGCGUCAAGAACGGCGGCGGGGCGGCGGUGUUCACGGCGGAGUGCUCCCACUCCUUCCACUUCCCCUGCAUCGCGGCGCGCGCGCGCGGGGCCGCCUCCGGCGCGCUCUGCUGCCCGGUCUGCUCCGCGCCGUGGCGCCAGGCGCCGUUCCUCGCGUCGCUCCGCCUCCACCUCGACGUCGACGGCUCCCCGCACCGCAAGCGCAGGACCUCCGACGACUCCCGCAAGGCAGCGCCGCCGCCGCAGACCAAGGCGGCCGGCGUGCCCAAGGUGUACGACGACGACGAGCCGCUCCUGGCGCCCAAGUCCGCCGCCAACGGCAGCGGGUUCAACCCGAUCCCGGAGGCGGACGAGGACGAGGGCGAGGGCGAGGGCGAGGAGGCCGGCCGGGAGGGCGAGUUCCGGGGCUUCUUCCCGCACCCGCCGCGGGCGCGGACCGGGCUGGCGGUGACCGUGGCGCCGGAGGCCGCGCUGGUGUCGUCCGGCCGGCGGCACGGCAAGUACGUGGUGGUGGUGAAGGUGAAGGCGCCGGGGCUGCGGUCGUCGGCGUCCCGGCGCGCGCCCAUCGACCUGGUGACGGUGCUGGACGUGAGCCAGGGCAUGAUGGGGGAGAAGCUGCAGAUGCUGAAGCGCGGGAUGCGGCUGGUGAUCGCGUCGCUCGGCCCCGCCGACCGGCUCUCCGUCGUCGCCUUCUCCGGCGCCGCCAAGCGGCUCAUGCCGCUGCGGCGGAUGUCGCGGCAGGGGCAGCGGUCGGCGCGGCAGAUCGUGGACCGCCUCGUGGUGUGCGCCGCCGCGCAGGGGCAGGAGCAGGCGCAGAGCGCGUGCGCCGGCGACGCGCUGCGCAAGGCCACCAAGGUCCUCGAGGACCGCCGCGACCGCAACCCCGUCGCCACCGUCAUGCUCCUCUCCGACACGCAGCAGCAGCAGGACGCGAGGAAGCACGGCGAUCACCACCACUCCCUGCGCCGCCCGCAGGCGGCUCCGGCGGCGGCCACGCGGUUCACCCACGUGGAGAUCCCCAUUGCCGGGCCGGCCGACGACGCGCCGGCGCGGUCGCCGCUCGCGCCCAAGGAGGAGCACCUGGAGUCGAGCGCCCCCGCGGAGCACGCCUUCGCGAAAUGCCUGGGCGGUCUCGUGAGCGUGGUCAUGCAGGAGGUGCACCUGGAGCUCGCCUUCCCGACGGGCGAGAUCACGGCGGUGUACUCCUGCGGCGCCGGGCAGCAUGCCGUGGCCCUGGCGGGCGGCGCCGGCGGCAACGGCGGGUCGGCGCUGAGCGUGCGGCUGGGCGAGAUGUACGCGGAGGAGGAGCGGGAGCUGCUGGUGGAGCUGCGGGCGCCGCUGGGCGCGCACCCGCACUCGCUGUCCGUCCGGUGCGCCUACCGCGACCCGGCGUCGCAGGAGACGGUACGCGGCGCCGAGCAGCCGCUGCUCCUGCCCCCGCUCCACGACGGCGGCGGCGGCGGGAGCUCCACGUCCUCGCAGCAGCGCCUGCACGACCUGUUCGUGGCGACGCGCGCCGUGGCGGAGUCGCGGCGUCUGGCGGAGCUGAGCGACUUCUCGACGGCCACGCACCUGCUGUCGUCGGCGCGGCGGCUGGUGCUGCAGUCCCCGCCGACGCAGCAGCAGCAGGACCUGCUGGGCGGGCUGGACACGGAGCUGAGCGACAUGCGGUGGCGGCGCGGCCAGCAGCAGCCACCAACGCCAACAUCCCGGUCGGCAACGCCGUCGGGCACGCCACGAGCGUCGUCGGGCGGCGGAGGGGGAGCAGGGGGCGAGCCGCUGACGCCGACGUCGGCGUGGCGCGCGGCGGAGCAGCUGGCGAAGGUGGCCAUCAUGCGCAAGUCCAUGAACCGGGUGAGCGACCUGCACGGCUUCGAGAACGCGCGCUUCUGA
RNAcentral lists this ribosomal RNA (2292 nucleotides) under Triticum aestivum (bread wheat). RNAcentral's name for it is "partial small subunit ribosomal RNA". The record is from RNAcentral. Lineage: Eukaryota; Viridiplantae; Streptophyta; Magnoliopsida; Poales; Poaceae.